ACAGUCCUGUGGUCAUAGCGAAUCUUUCUAAAGCUCUGAUCAGUCAAGAAGGGGGUUGUAUCAAUCCUCAGAACCCUGAGUGGAACUUUCUACAGGAUUUAUUAGGAGAAAAACCUUCCCGGAAGCUGCAGAAGGACAAAUACAGAAUCCGUGUCUGGGAGAAACCUCGUGGCCUGGUCUCCAUUAUUUGAGAUGAGUUACAUCUUGGAGGCCUGAUCUUUUGGCCAGAAGGAGAUUAAAAAGAUGCCCCUCAAGAUGGCUGUGCCUGUCAGCUGCAUGGAGCUUCGUUCAAGUAUUUUCUGAGCCUGAUGGAUUUACAGUGAUCUUCAGUGGUCUGGGGAAUAACGCUGGUGGAACCAUGCACUGGAAUGACACACGCCCGGCACAUUUCAGGAUACUAAAAGUGGUUUUAAGGGAGGCUGUGGCUGAAUGCCUCAUGGAUUCUUACAGCUUGGAUGUCCAUGGGGGACGAAGGACUGCAGCUGGCUGAGAGGGUUGAGAUCUCUGUUUACUUAGAUCUCUGCCAACUUCCUUUGGGUCUCCCUAUGGAAUGUAAGACCCCGACUCUUCCUGGUGAAGCAUCUGAUGCACGUUCCAUCCGGCGCUCAGCUGGGCUUGAGCUGACCAUACUCCCUGGAGCCUUCUCCCGAGGUGCGCGGGUGACCUUGGCACAUACAGCCAUCAUGAUGGUACUUUAAGUGGAGGCUGAAUCAUCUCCCCUUUGAGCUGCUUGGCACGUGGCUCCCUUGGUGUUCCCCUUUUACUGCCAGGACACUGAGAUUUGGAGAGAAUCCUGUUACACCUGGGAUUUAGGCACUUUCAAUCUGAAAAAAUACAUAUCCUUUCAGCACUCUGGACGGACUUGAGAACUGUCCUUACGUGACCUAAAGCUGGAGUAUUUUGAGAUUGGAGAAUUAAGGACAGAAUAACGGGCUCCCAGAUUCACAAGCCCCACCAAGAGGAUCACCCCAGGAACGCUUGGAGGCUGAGGAGUUCACUGAGGCUACUGCAUCUUGAGACUCAGGAUGAAGACCCAGCUUGGGGCUGUCAAAGGUUUUUUGCAUGUCUGACACCCAUGACUCCACCUGGACCUUAUGGCUCCACCCAGAAGCAAUUCAGCCCAACAGGAGGACAGCUUCAACCCAUUACGAUUUCAUCUCUGCCCCAACCACUCAGCAGCAAGCACCUGUUACCUGUCCACCCCCACCCCUUCCCCCAAACUGCCUUUGAAAAAUCCCUAACCUAUGAGCUUUGAAUAAGAUGAGUACGAACUUCAUCGCCCACGUGGCGUGGCCGGCCUCGUGUCUAUUAAAUUCUUUUUCUACUACAA
RNAcentral lists this long non-coding RNA (1330 nucleotides) under Homo sapiens (human). RNAcentral's name for it is "Pvt1 oncogene". The stretch from base 621 to 789 matches the Rfam family "Pvt1 oncogene conserved region 4". The record is from RNAcentral. Lineage: Eukaryota; Metazoa; Chordata; Mammalia; Primates; Hominidae.